GUCUACUGCCAUGCUACCUUGAACAACCCAGAUCCCGUCUGAUCUCGGAAACUAAGCAGGGUUGGGCCUGGUUAGUAUUUGGAUGGGAGACCACCUAGGAAGACCAGGUGCUGUACGUG
Molecule: ribosomal RNA, 119 nt
Filed under: Pteropus alecto (black flying fox)
Lineage: Eukaryota; Metazoa; Chordata; Mammalia; Chiroptera; Pteropodidae
Source: RNAcentral